AAAAUGCGAUACGUAAUGUGAAUUGCAGAAACAAGUGAAUCAUCAAAUCUUUGAACGCAACUUGCGCCUAAGAGUAACUCUCUCAGGCAUACUUGUUUGAGUGUCGGUAAAUAACCUCAUAUAUAUGCAAAUAUAUUAACUUUGAGAUCCAAUUUUUCAUUUUUAUGAGAAAUCGAAUCUUUAACAAGAAAAUCUAUAGUAACAUAAGCUAUAUCAAAUCAUAUAUAGUAAAAGGAAUCUAAUUCCCUAACACUUUCUAUGUUUGAUUAUGAAUUAUGUUUACUUUAUAUUUCAUGAUUUUCGACCUCAAAUCAAGUAAGAAUACCGGCUGAACUUAA
RNAcentral lists this unclassified non-coding RNA (338 nucleotides) under uncultured Russulaceae. RNAcentral describes it as "sequence contains ITS1". The stretch from base 1 to 106 matches the Rfam family "5.8S ribosomal RNA", at positions 50 to 154 of the family's 154-position model. Lineage: Eukaryota; Fungi; Basidiomycota; Agaricomycetes; Russulales; Russulaceae. The record is from RNAcentral.